RNAcentral lists this ribosomal RNA (214 nucleotides) under uncultured bacterium. Its description in RNAcentral is "partial 16S ribosomal RNA". It matches the Rfam family "Bacterial small subunit ribosomal RNA", at positions 1288 to 1500 of the family's 1533-position model. The record is from RNAcentral.
UCAGUUCAGAUUGCAGGCUGCAACCCGCCUGCAUGAAGUCGGAAUUGCUAGUAAUCGCGGAUCAGCAUGCCGCGGUGAAUACGUUCCCGGGCCUUGUACACACCGCCCGUCACACCAUGGGAGCCGGUAAUACCCGAAGUCAGUAGUCCAACCUCGUGAGGACGCUCGCCGAAGGUAGGAUUGGCGACUCGGGGUGAAGUCGUAACAAGGUACC